Long non-coding RNA from Gorilla gorilla gorilla (western lowland gorilla), 2913 nucleotides. RefSeq lists it as uncharacterized. The record is from RefSeq and is a predicted model, not a curated record. NCBI's taxonomy places the organism in Eukaryota, Metazoa, Chordata, Mammalia, Primates, Hominidae. The transcript is spliced from 2 exons.
AGCUAGAUACAGAGUGCUGAUUGGUGCAUUCACAAACCCUGAGCUAGACACAGGGUGCUGAUUGGUGUGUUUACAAACCUUGAGCUAGAUACAGAGUGCUGAUUGGUGUAUUUACAAUCCCUUGGCUAGACAUAAAGGUUCUCCAAGUCCCCGCCAGACUCAGGAGCCCAGCUGGCUUCACCCAGUGGAUCCCCCACGGGGGGCUGUAGGUGGAGCUGCCUGCAAGUCCUGCGCCGUGCGCCCACACUCCUCAGCCCUUGGGAGGUCGAUGGGACUGGGCACCCGUGGAGCAGGGGGCGGUGCUCGUUGGGGAGGCUCCACCCCGCAGGAGCCCACCCGGCCGGGAGGCUCAGGCAUGGUGGGCUGCAGGUCCCAAGCCCUGCCUUGCAGGAAGGCAGCUAAGGCCCCGCGAGAAGUCGAGCACAGCAGCUGCUGGCCCAGGUGCUAAGCCCCUCACUUCCCGGGCCGGCAGGGCCGGCUGGCCGCUCGGGGUGCGGAGCCCGCGGAGCUCACGCCCACCUGGAACUCGCGCUGGCGCGCAAGCGCCGCGCACAACCCCUGCUCCCGCCCGCGCCUCUCCCUCCACACCUCCCCGCAAGCUGAGGGAGCCGGCUCCGGCCUCGGCCAGCCCAGGAAGGGGCUCCCACAGUGCAGCGGCGGGCUAAAGGUCUCCUACAGCGCUGCCAAAGUGUGAGCCCAGGCAGAGGAGGCGCCGAGAGUGAGCAAGGGCUGCCAGGGCUGUCAGCAUGCUGUCACCUCUCAAAAUGGUACCAGAAAUUUGAGAUGCAUACUAUGGAACUUCUGGAGAGUGAUGACUGCCAGGGAAAAUGGCCAGCUUAGGCUUCGUGAGGAUCUUUCAGGAUGGCUUCCUAGCACAGCCUGUGGCAGCUCAUCAGGGAACAAAGAAGAAAUGACAGUAUCCCUGCCCUUGAGAAGCUGAUACUCCAGUGAGAGAAGAAAACAGGCAAAGAGAAAGAUGUCACGAUGACAAAGUAACAUUGAAAUGAAUGUAGAAGAUAACUGUGGGGGUUUGGUAAGGUGGGAAUGAGUAGAGUGCAUUGAAGUGAGACUCACCCUGGAACCCUGUCCAGUGAUACUGUCUUAGUCGGUUCUGGCUACUAUAAUGAAAUACCAUAGACUGGCUGGCAUGUAAAUAACAGAAACUUACGUCUCACAGUUCUGAAGGCUUGGAAGUCCAAGAUCAAGACACCAGCAAAUUUUGUGUCUGGUGAAGGCCCACUUUCUGGUUCAUAGAUGGCACCUUCUAGCUGUUUCCUUAUACGACAGAAGGUGCUAGCUAGAUUUCUGGGAUCUCUUUUAUAAAGGCAUUACAAAUUGUGAGGGCUGCAUGCUUAUGACCUAAUCGUCUCCCGAAGACCCUAUCUCUUAAUACCAUCACCUUGAGGGUUAAGAUUUCAACAUGAGAAUUUUGAGAGGACACAAACAUUCAGACCAUAGCAAAUACCAAGCUUUUUAUGGAUUCAUACUAUUUCAGAGAAUUAUACUGGUUGGCUAUAUCCUUAUUUCGAUUAUUACUAUCACCUUAAAAAAGGGAUUCUCAACUUUGAGCAUUACUGACAUUUCGGGCCAGAUCAUUUUGUUGUGGGGGCUGUCCUGUGUAUUGUAGGAUGUCUAGCAACAUCCCUGGCCCCUCCCCACUAGAUGCCACUAGCACCUCGUCUACUACUCCUCCCUGCGCCCCCUACUUCCUCAGUAUGAUGACCCCAAAUGUUUCCAGACCUUACCAAAUGUUCCCUGUUGGGCCAGUUGCCCCCGGUUGAUGACCAUUGUGUUUAAAGAAUUCAUUUCAACUAUUUUAUCGGCCCCUAAGGCACCAGCCUCCCUCUGAGGCUGUGUCCAUGGGAAUGCUAUCUGUGGCUGCUUGCGGAUCUCUCCAGCACUGACUGGCUAAGUCACACUGGCAGCCAUGGGUGAGACUUCCUCAACGUGGGUGGAGCAAAUUCCUACGAUGCCAGGCUGCAAGGUUGCAUUCUGCAUUUCUAGGUGUCGGGGAUGCCUUGAUUAUUUUCCAAAGUAAUCUAAAUUUUAUCUCCAGGGAUCCUUGCCCCUCCUAAAUGGGUAUUAUCUGGGAAUAAGACAGCUCAAUUGUUUAUGGAGCCUUUAUUUAAUAUUUGACAAUAUCUAGGAGAAAGUCACAAACACUUAGUUCAAUUAUUAAAAUAAAGCCUGUAGGGUAUCUCCCCAAAAGAGUAUCCCAGAAUCAUUACUUUAAUUUAAGCAUAAUUGUAAAAGGGGGCUGGGAAGCCUGCAGUAGGGGGAGAUAAAUUUUCAAGUGUCAUUUUAGGAAAACAAAGGCUUUGCAAGAAAAAACAUCCACUUUCCCCCCUAGUUACAGGCUUAAUGUUAUUAAUAAGUUAGAUGUCAGAUGUAUGCUGUUAUUGGCAGCAUGCAUACAAUUUAAAUAUUUUAGCUUCCAUUAUACAACUGAAUCUACAUGACUGACCUUCAAGGGCCCCAUUCAUAAGGGAUGAGGAGAGGGAACAAUCAGCUACUUCAUGCAAGGGCUGGCCAGCAGACUGGGUUUCCCCACAUUGUCAGACAAACCACGACACAGGGAAGGCUUUGGAGACGCUCUAACAUGGCAGGGUUGGGACAGAGAAUGAUGGGGGUGGGGGGCACCCUUUUGGGGCAGGGAGAGAGCCAAGGCUUGUUUUUCUUUUGGAAAAAAAGCUAUUCCACCUUUGUUCCAAGGGAGAAUGAAAUAUCCAUUAAGACUGGUGACACUGGGAAUUUUGUUUUGGCUUAGUUCCUUUUGUUGUGACUCCACGGUAAAGGAGAGGAAUCUGGGGUAAGGAGGUUUCAAGCCAAGAUGAGAAAGAAAAAGCAUGCCUUCCAAGGAUUUCUUCUAUUGUCUCCCGGAGAAUAAAUAUUUAUAGAGAGGGUUCAAGUGAA